RNAcentral lists this ribosomal RNA (253 nucleotides) under uncultured bacterium. RNAcentral's name for it is "partial 16S ribosomal RNA". It matches the Rfam family "Bacterial small subunit ribosomal RNA", at positions 524 to 776 of the family's 1533-position model. The record is from RNAcentral.
UACGUAGGGUGCAAGCGUUAAUCGGAAUUACUGGGCGUAAAGCGUGCGCAGGCGGCUUUGCAAGACAGAUGUGAAAUCCCCGGGCUUAACCUGGGAACUGCAUUUGUGACUGCAUGGCUGGAGUGCGGCAGAGGGGGAUGGAAUUCCGCGUGUAGCAGUGAAAUUCGUAGAUAUCGGGAGGAACACCGGUGGCGAAGGCGGCGACCUGGGUAGAUACUGACGCUGAGGUGCGAAAGCGUGGGGAGCAAACAGG